UAGGGAAUCUUCCGCAAUGGACGCAAGUCUGACGGAGCAACGCCGCGUGAGUGAAGAAGGUUUUCGGAUCGUAAAACUCUGUUGUUAGAGAAGAACAAGUGCUAGAGUAACUGUUAGCACCCUGACGGUAUCUAACCAGAAAGCCACGGCUAACUACGUGCCAGCAGCCGCGGUAAUACGUAGGUGGCAAGCGUUGUCCGGAUUUAUUGGGCGUAAAGCGAGCGCAGGCGGUUCCUUAAGUCUGAUGUGAAAGCCCCCGGCUCAACCGGGGAGGGUCAUUGGAAACUGGGGAACUUGAGUGCAGAAGAGGAGAGUGGAAUUCCAUGUGUAGCGGUGAAAUGCGUAGAUAUAUGGAGGAACACCAGUGGCGAAGGCGACUCUCUGGUCUGUAACUGACGCUGAGGCUCGAAAGCGUGGGUAGCAAACAGGAUUAGAUACCCUGGUAGUCCACGCCGUAAACGAUGAGUGCUAAGUGUUGGAGGGUUUCCGCCCUUCAGUGCUGCAGUUAACGCAUUAAGCACUCCGCCUGGGGAGUACGACCGCAAGGUU
Molecule: ribosomal RNA, 549 nt
Filed under: uncultured bacterium
Lineage: Bacteria
Description: bacterial SSU rRNA
Rfam family: Bacterial small subunit ribosomal RNA
Source: RNAcentral